Molecule: long non-coding RNA, 901 nt
Filed under: Equus caballus (horse)
Lineage: Eukaryota; Metazoa; Chordata; Mammalia; Perissodactyla; Equidae
Description: lncRNA (ENSECAG00000055061.1)
Source: RNAcentral
GGGAGAGCUCGUGGCCUACGUUAUGGGUCUAACGCCCAGCUCUGCUCAUCCAUUGUCCUAAUGCUCUGCCAACUUCUCCAGCCCACAGGCACCCGUCCAACCUUUUGACCUUCUCAAGGCUCAAGAUGUGGAAAUGCGGCCUUGGGAGAUGCAUUCCUCCAUGGGUCCUUGGCUGGUGAGAGGCAGAGCUGGUGAGCCUAGGGAGUCUGUUCUCCAGUGCUUCCGAGCACCAACAGUGAGCCAGGGCUCACGGUCCUGCUCUCACUUGGCUUCCUCCAGCUCCUUGUCAUCGUUGUCUUAACAUCAUGGGGACACAUUACACAUGCUGGAGAAGAUGCCUCUGUGGGAAAUGUACUCAGGAGGCCCCUGCACCAUUCUCUACCUUCCUCUCUGCUCUGACCUGUGACCAGGCAAGAAGGAUAGGGACCAGUUCUCUCCCCACACUAACGCUCCAAGGUGACUGUCACAGUGGGUUUCACCCGCAGCCUCCUCCAUCUGCCUAGAAGAGACCAGAGGCACACACAGAAACAAGACGGUCAGGGGCUCUGGGGCCCUGCAGAGGGCGGAUGCCUGCGAGGCAGAAGUGCCACCUGCUGGUGGACAUCGGCAUGGCCGACAGCACCCCAGCUCACUCCCCACGAAUCCAGGCAUCUGCUAGCAGGAUGGCGAUCAUGACAUCCAGCGACGUCAUGGGCGUUUCCAGAAGCUGCCCAGCAGUGGGCCUGGGGCGCGGCAGCUUCAUCACUGGGUUCAUUUUCCCGCCUAACUACAGGGAGUGUGUUGUGCUGCUGGUCACCAGCAGAGGGCGCACCUAAAGCAAGCGAGGGCCGGAAGUUUUUGAGCCUGGCCUGCCUUUUGGAAUAUUUUUUAUAACGAUGCAAAAUUCAGAAUUAAAGCAAGC